RNAcentral lists this ribosomal RNA (240 nucleotides) under uncultured bacterium. RNAcentral's name for it is "partial 16S ribosomal RNA". It matches the Rfam family "Bacterial small subunit ribosomal RNA", at positions 337 to 594 of the family's 1533-position model. The record is from RNAcentral.
CCCUACGGGGGGCAGCAGUGGGGAAUAUCGCACAAUGGGGGAAACCCUGAUGCAGCGACGCCGCGUGAGUGAAGAAGUAUUUCGGUAUGUAAAGCUCUAUCAGCAGGGAAGAUAAUGACGGUACCUGACUAAGAAGCCCCGGCUAACUACGUGCCAACAGCCGCGGUAAUACGUAGGGGGCGAGCGUUGUCCGGAAUUACUGGGUGUAAAGGGAGUGUAGGCGGGAAAGCAAGUCAGCAG